This 497-nucleotide ribosomal RNA is filed under the name uncultured bacterium. RNAcentral describes it as "partial 16S ribosomal RNA". It matches the Rfam family "Bacterial small subunit ribosomal RNA", at positions 28 to 507 of the family's 1533-position model. The record is from RNAcentral.
GAUGAACGCUGGCGGCGUGCCUAAUACAUGCAAGUCGAGCGAACAAACGAGGAGCUUGCUCCCCUGACGUUAGCGGCGGACGGGUGAGUAACACGUGGAUAACCUACCUAUAAGACUGGGAUAACUUCGGGAAACCGGAGCUAAUACCGGAUAAUAUAUUGAACCGCAUGGUUCAAUAGUGAAAGACGGUUUUGCUGUCACUUAUAGAUGGAUCCGCGCCGCAUUAGCUAGUUGGUAAGGUAACGGCUUACCAAGGCGACGAUGCGUAGCCGACCUGAGAGGGUGAUCGGCCACACUGGAACUGAGACACGGUCCAGACUCCUACGGGAGGCAGCAGUAGGGAAUCUUCCGCAAUGGGCGAAAGCCUGACGGAGCAACGCCGCGUGAGUGAUGAAGGUCUUCGGAUCGUAAAACUCUGUUAUUAGGGAAGAACAAAUGUGUAAGUAACUAUGCACGUCUUGACGGUACCUAAUCAGAAAGCCACGGCUAACUACGUG